RNAcentral lists this ribosomal RNA (258 nucleotides) under uncultured bacterium. Its description in RNAcentral is "partial 16S ribosomal RNA". It matches the Rfam family "Bacterial small subunit ribosomal RNA", at positions 8 to 269 of the family's 1533-position model. The record is from RNAcentral.
AGAGUUUGAUCAUGGCUCAGGACGAACGCUGGCGGCGUGCUUAACACAUGCAAGUCGAGCGGUAAGGCCCUUCGGGGUACACGAGCGGCGAACGGGUGAGUAACACGUGAGCAACCUGCCCCCGACUCUGGGAUAAGCGGUGGAAACGCCGUCUAAUACCGGAUACGACCCGCCACCUCAUGGUGUGCGAGUGGAAAGUUUUUUCGGUUGGGGAUGGGCUCGCGGCCUAUCAGCUUGUUGGUGGGGUAAAGGCCUACC